RNAcentral lists this ribosomal RNA (465 nucleotides) under Vreelandella stevensii. Its description in RNAcentral is "partial 16S ribosomal RNA". It matches the Rfam family "Bacterial small subunit ribosomal RNA", at positions 338 to 795 of the family's 1533-position model. Lineage: Bacteria; Pseudomonadati; Pseudomonadota; Gammaproteobacteria; Oceanospirillales; Halomonadaceae. The record is from RNAcentral.
CCUACGGGUGGCAGCAGUGGGGAAUAUUGGACAAUGGGGGCAACCCUGAUCCAGCCAUGCCGCGUGUGUGAAGAAGGCCCUCGGGUUGUAAAGCACUUUCAGUGAGGAAGAACGCCUGGUGGUUAAUACCCAUCAGGAAAGACAUCACUCACAGAAGAAGCACCGGCUAACUCCGUGCCAGCAGCCGCGGUAAUACGGAGGGUGCGAGCGUUAAUCGGAAUUACUGGGCGUAAAGCGCGCGUAGGUGGCUUGAUAAGCCGGUUGUGAAAGCCCCGGGCUCAACCUGGGAACGGCAUCCGGAACUGUCAAGCUAGAGUGCAGGAGAGGAAGGUAGAAUUCCCGGUGUAGCGGUGAAAUGCGUAGAGAUCGGGAGGAAUACCAGUGGCGAAGGCGGCCUUCUGGACUGUCACUGACACUGAGGUGCGAAAGCGUGGGUAGCAAACAGGAUUAGAUACCCCAGUAGUC